Molecule: long non-coding RNA, 129 nt
Filed under: Cavia porcellus (domestic guinea pig)
Lineage: Eukaryota; Metazoa; Chordata; Mammalia; Rodentia; Caviidae
Description: lncRNA (ENSCPOG00000030544.1)
Source: RNAcentral
AUCUACUAGGCGGAGUCCUUUGCAGGCUUUGAUAAUAGGUCCAUAUCUGGCCAGAUCGAUCCUCAUGGUGGGAGUGGACCUUAUGACAGAUUGGAGCCAGAACACCUCAAGUCCCCUCCAACGUCUCAG